CGGACGUAAACAAUUUUAAAUUUUAGUGAAGUGAGGCGAGUGAGGCUAUGUUAUAAUCGUUCCGUUAACGCUUCCGAGACUGAACCGUAUAAUAAAUAAUAAAACUGAGCUAUAUAAUACAAUAAAACUGACGUGCCGAAAAUCAUUUAAAAGUGCAACAUGCUGUGUCAGUUACCAGGUUGCAGUACACGAUAUUGGGAUAGGAAUAAUAAUCACCCAAUGUUUAGAGCUCUCUCUGAAAAACAGUUGAAAGAUUGGCAAGAAAUAUUAAGACUGAAAGGCGUAGUUGAUUUCGGUAAAAAUGACCGAGUUUGCGUUUUACAUUUCAAAGAAGAACAUAUUGAGCGAGAACGUAUAAUAUACCAAUCCGGUGGAAUAGUAUCCAAAAUGCCGAGGAAAGUACUGCUUCUGACUCCUACUGCUGUUCCAACAAUUUUUCCCACCAACGUAUCUAGAAGUUUCCCGUAUUAUACCAUGCAAGAGAGUCAAACACGAUUCACAACAAAUUGGUAAGGCUUGCCUUGGUUAUGUGAUGAAAAAUUCAGUUGGUCGUCAAAAACUCUUCUGCUCCCCGUGCAAUAAAUAUCAGACAAAUGCGAAAAGGAGGAUGAGAACAGAAGGUAAGAUCCAUUUGCUGAGAAACAUGAAACAGAAUCUGUGAGUGAAGUGUAAUAAACUUCGUCGUAAAAGUGAGCUUCUUCAAACCAAGGUACGAUUCAAUGAAGACAUUAUAUAACCGUUCGUCACACAUUGUGAUUUCCUAAAAUUAUGAAUCCAUGAAAAUACCAUUGUGCCCUUUAAAGUUAAAGGCACUAAAAAAAACCGUGACUUCGUUGAAACAGCAAUGCCAAGUAGCAGACAAAACAGCCUUGGAAAAAGCGAUUACAAACUACCAUUUAAUUAACAAGUUAGUAUAAAAGCUUGUUCUGCUGCAUCAAAAACAUCAACACUCAGUGGGUGUAUGAAUGUGUUCUGACUCGCAUUAAAAAUAAAAAGGUCUACGAACACCUGCGAAAGCGCAAGAUACUCGUGCUUCCUGAUAUUUCAACAUUGAAUAGAAACGUUAAACGUAUCAUCCUUAUCACGUGAUACUUGUAUGAAAUUCCAGUUGCGCCGUGUGGCCUGCAACUAGUCAUACGGUACUGAAUUUUAUAGCAUUCUUCAGGCGUUGUUCGUAGCCUUUGAUCGACAGGUGUAUUUAUUUAUAUCUGUUAGUUUUCCGUACAACUGUUGUUGCUGGUAAAAAGAGAAUUUAAAAAAACAAGUCACAGGCUGUAAUUUACUCUCAUCGUGCGAUCACAAUGAUGAGAUUUAAUUACACUUUGUUCAAUUCAGAUGAGAUUUGAGUUUCUCUGCCAGAGCUUUGCUGUUGCGAAUCUUGAUGUACAUAAUUACUUUUGCGUUUACUUAUAUUCACCAUCUUACUUAAUCCAUUGUUACAAUUAAACAGAUUGCAAUUUUCCGUUUGGUCCGUAUGGUCUUUUUCAUUGGAAAUUCAUUUUUUUUCACCGGCAAAUGGAUUUGAAUGAAUUAAAGAUUCGUCGGUAAAAAUCGAUCUAAAUAUAGCAAACGUUGAAGAGUCGUGAUAAGAAAGUGCAGCGAAUUUUUUUUUUCGAACUUCCCUGGAAUUGCAAUAUUUUGUUAGGAUCAACUGUAGUUAAUUCGAAUUAAGUAAAUAAGUCUGCUUGUUCUAAUAUUUUCUUUUAGCGGUUUGAUUACAAGUUACAGCGAUUUUGUGACAGCGAUAGACUUCUGUUGAUGAUUAGCAACAAACUCUAUUUAGAAAAGCCGUCAUUCGUUAGAUGUCACUCGCAAAAUGUAAAGUUCGUGAAAACCGGAUUCUUUCAAAACUUCGUACCUCCAUAAUACGUGUAUUAUUAUUAUGG
Molecule: long non-coding RNA, 1886 nt
Filed under: Neodiprion pinetum (white pine sawfly)
Lineage: Eukaryota; Metazoa; Arthropoda; Insecta; Hymenoptera; Diprionidae
Description: uncharacterized LOC124218603, transcript variant X1
Source: RNAcentral